GACGAACGCUGGCGGCGUGCCUAAUACAUGCAAGUCGAACGAGAGCGACCGGUGCUUGCACUGGUCAAUCUAGUGGCGAACGGGUGAGUAACACGUGGGUAACCUGCCCAUCAGAGGGGGAUAACAUUCGGAAACGGAUGCUAAAACCGCAUAGGUCUUCGAACCGCAUGGUUUGAAGAGGGAAAGAGGCGCAAGCUUCUGCUGAUGGAUGGACCCGCGGUGCAUUAGCUAGUUGGUGAGGUAACGGCUCACCAAGGCCGUGAUGCAUAGCCGACCUGAGAGGGUGAUCGGCCACAUUGGGACUGAGACACGGCCCAAACUCCUACGGGAGGCAGCAGUAGGGAAUCUUCCGCAAUGGACGCAAGUCUGACGGAGCAACGCCGCGUGAGUGAAGAAGGUUUUCGGAUCGUAAAACCCUGUUGUUAGAGAAGAAUAAGUGCUAGAGUAACUGUUAGCGCCUUGACGGUAUCUAACCAGAAAGCCACGGCUAACUACGUG
This 498-nucleotide ribosomal RNA is filed under the name uncultured bacterium. Its description in RNAcentral is "partial 16S ribosomal RNA". It matches the Rfam family "Bacterial small subunit ribosomal RNA", at positions 28 to 507 of the family's 1533-position model. The record is from RNAcentral.